Molecule: ribosomal RNA, 468 nt
Filed under: uncultured bacterium
Lineage: Bacteria
Description: partial 16S ribosomal RNA
Rfam family: Bacterial small subunit ribosomal RNA
Source: RNAcentral
GACGAACGCUGGCGGCGUGCUUAACACAUGCAAGUCGAACGGAAAGGCCCUGCUUUUGUGGGGUGCUCGAGUGGCGAACGGGUGAGUAACACGUGAGUAACCUGCCCUUGACUUUGGGAUAACUUCAGGAAACUGGGGCUAAUACCGGAUAGGAGCUCCUGCUGCAUGGUGGGGGUUGGAAAGUGUCGGCGGUUGGGGAUGGACUCGCGGCUUAUCAGCUUGUUGGUGGGGUAGUGGCUUACCAAGGCUUUGACGGGUAGCCGGCCUGAGAGGGUGACCGGCCACAUUGGGACUGAGAUACGGCCCAGACUCCUACGGGAGGCAGAAGUGGGGAAUAUUGCACAAUGGGCGGAAGCCUGAUGCAGCAACGCCGCGUGCGGGAUGACGGCCUUCGGGUUGUAAACCGCUUUCGCCUGUGACGCAGCGUGAGUGACGGUAAUGGGUAAAGAAGCACCGGCUAACUACGUG